CCUACGGGUGGCAGCAGUGGGGAAUAUUGGACAAUGGGCGAAAGCCUGAUCCAGCCAUGCCGCGUGUGUGAAGAAGGCCUUCGGGUUGUAAAGCACUUUCAGUGGGGAAGAAAGCCUUGGGGCUAAUACCCUCGAGGAAGGACAUCACCCACAGAAGAAGCACCGGCUAACUCCGUGCCAGCAGCCGCGGUAAUACGGAGGGUGCGAGCGUUAAUCGGAAUUACUGGGCGUAAAGCGCGCGUAGGCGGUCUGAUAAGCCGGUUGUGAAAGCCCCGGGCUCAACCUGGGAACGGCAUCCCGAACUGUCAGGCUAGAGUGCAGGAGAGGAAGGUAGAAUUCCCGGUGUAGCGGUGAAAUGCGUAGAGAUCGGGAGGAAUACCAGUGGCGAAGGCGGCCUUCUGGACUGACACUGACGCUGAGGUGCGAAAGCGUGGGUAGCAAACAGGAUUAGAUACCCCUGUAGUC
This 465-nucleotide ribosomal RNA is filed under the name Vreelandella stevensii. RNAcentral describes it as "partial 16S ribosomal RNA". It matches the Rfam family "Bacterial small subunit ribosomal RNA", at positions 338 to 795 of the family's 1533-position model. The record is from RNAcentral. Lineage: Bacteria; Pseudomonadati; Pseudomonadota; Gammaproteobacteria; Oceanospirillales; Halomonadaceae.